Molecule: long non-coding RNA, 2608 nt
Filed under: Sitophilus oryzae (rice weevil)
Lineage: Eukaryota; Metazoa; Arthropoda; Insecta; Coleoptera; Curculionidae
Description: uncharacterized LOC115882015, transcript variant X2
Source: RNAcentral
CUGACAGCAAGCAGUUAUGUCUUUGUAUGUGGCUGUUACAAUUUUUCUGAGUUUUUGAUAGAAAAAUUUAUUUUUCUGAGCACUAUUUGAGUUUAUUCUGUUCCCUAAGGCCUGUUUAAUUUUUUGAAAAUGAGUAUUAAUAAUAUAUACAAAAACACAUAGAGGCCAUCUAAAAGAAGGGACCUGGGUGCAAAAGAAGGGACCUCAUGUAUAAUCCUGAUGUUUGGCCAUGAUUUUGGUUUACAAGUAGGUCUUCCAUUAUCUGAUUAAAAAUUUUCCUCAACAAAUCGAUGGAUGUAUACAGUUCCAGGGCAGUACAUUUAUCCUUUGUUGUAAUUUUACGGAUUUUGGUGGUUUGGUUUGCUUGUGUUUAAAUAGAAUUAAAACACACUAUUUCUGGCGCAUUCGCCAUUUAUUCAAAAAACCGAUUCAUCCACAUAUCAUUUCUGGCUUUUCUAGAAUUUUUUUCAAUGAAUUUUCCUGAGUAAUAUCGACUCCAGAGCAUCAUAGCUAGCCUCCUCUAAGAGGAGGAGACCCGGGUCACCCCCUAACCCUGAUGUUCGGCCAUCGAUGACCUAUGUAGCAUGCAUAGGUACCCAAGGGAGUCACCACCCUCUGGUUUACGAGCUAGGUGUUCUAACGCUAGAGGCUUCGGCCGGAUACGACCUGGCACCCAAGCUACGAGACUUCUUCGUGCACGUAUCCCGUGACGUUUCGACAGUAGAGGGGGCGGGAUAUCAGACACGUUGAAGAUGACGAGCGGGGUCCGCCUGUAGGGGGUCCCGGUGGAUGUCCGCUCGAUGGGUGACGAGGGUGACCCGAGACGAGGCUGCUUAGCUGGGAUGGGAACUGACGUAAUCGUCGGACAAGGGUUAAAUCUGAUGAAGGGAGGCGAACUUAGAUGCUCUGGAUGAUUUUUCUUUUUGUGUUUGAUGUCAAAUGAAUUUUCCAUUUCUUAUUGCUCACAUUACCUCUAUUUCACUAUUUUUGUAUCCCAUAUUUUUUUUUAUUGGAAUAUCAUCAUUCAUCAAUUCUAUAAACCCUUUUAAUAAUUGUCUUAUAUAUUUGUAUUUUUUUUAUCAUUCCUCUGACACUUUUCUAUGAUAUAUUUUAUCAUUUCUAUGUAUAGAGUUAUAGCAUUUUAUUCAUUUUCAUUCCCAUUUUUUACCAAUUUAUACCCCAUUUUCAUGCCAUUUUUUUCCAUAUUUUUUUACUUAUGGAAAUGUCAUCGUUCAUCAAUGCUAUAAACUCUUCCAUUGUUUGUUCUUCUAAAUCAUAUUUAUAUAAUUGUAUAAUCUUUUUUGUCAUUCUUCUGAGACUUUUAUAAGUUCAUCACACAUUUUCAUACCAUUUUUUCCAAUUCUACGUACCACUGUUUCUUUGUGUCUCAUAUUUUCUCCAUUCCUUGAAAUCUAUUAAUUUAUGUAUAUCUGAGUUAUCAGUCAUCAUUUACUUGUAUCAUUUAUUUUUGUAUUGUGCCAUUCUAUGUCAUUACUUGUCCAAGGCAUUUUAUUUCUAUUAUCUCUAUAGAGAAUUCAUCAUACCCCAUACAGAGUAAAACUUAAUUAAAUGUAAUUUAUUGUAUCUCAUCUAUAUUGAAUAUAUUUGAAAAUCUCUUCUUUUAUUUGUGUUAUUGUUUAUUUUACUGCUAUUCCAUCUAAGACCUGCAAGUCUUUGAUUUAAUUUCUAUUGAAACCUACAUAGAAUUUGUAGUUUAGGAUUGAUUUUCUAAUUGAUUUUCUUUUAUCUCCGUUUUUUCCUUUUCCUUUUAAAACUGAAUGUUUGAUUGGGAUCUUGUACUGCUUUGGAACAAGGAUUUUUGGACAAGGACAGCUGGCACUUCAAUUCAACCACCCUCUUCUAGAUGUCAUUAGAAUGAUUAAAUUUAACAUUCAACAGUGGAUUGAGAAUGAAGUUUAUCAUUGAAGAGGAAGAUAAAUAAUUUUAGAACCAAGGCUUUCCAGAAGUGUAGCAGAAGAUUUAUUAACUUCCACAUAGACAUCAGUAUGUCCGCCAACAACUCGGAUUUUAAUAUACUUUUACCUUUGUUAAAAUGUAAUACGUUAAAAAAUGUGAUAAGUGAUAACAAAAAAAAAAUAUUUUACUGUAGAUAUUUAUUAGUUAAUAAGUUCAAAAUAAUAUUUAUAGUUAGGAAAAAUAUUUAGUGUAAGAAUAUGUUUUAGUCUAGUUUAUAUAAUUAGAUAAGAAAAUAAAAUAUGUAAACAUAUACGGUAUAUAUGAUCGGAAAAAAAACUGCGCCCAGUUGGCUUGGAAAUGAGGAUCGAUGACAUUCUCCAUAUAAUUUUACAUAUAAAAUGACAGCGGUCUUCAUUUCAUAGCCAUCGCUGACGCCGUUUUUAUUCGAUCGUAUGGCACUACCGUGUUAACGAAAAAACCUUGAGCUGGUGUGUUGAACAAUUAAUAACACACUUGUAUCUCAAUUUUAGUUAAAGUAUUUAUCCUUAACACGGCAGUAUAUUAUACUAGUGUAAAGAAAUUCAUAUAGCGUUAUAAGUGAUAUAAAUAUACAUUUUUUUAUUAAUAAGAUCCAUAGUUUAUAACUUAUUGUGUAUAAUUAGAAUAGAGAAUAUAAAUAAAAACAUUAGAA